AACGCGUAUGCAACUUACCUUUAACAGGAGAAUAGCCCCGAGAAAUCGGGAUUAAUACUCCAUAAUAUCAAGCUUUCGCAUGUUAGCUUGAUUAAAGCUCCGGCGGUUAAAGAUAGGCAUGCGUUAGAUUAGCUUGUUGGUGAGGUAACGGCUCACCAAGGCAACGAUCUAUAGGGGGUCUGAGAGGAUGAUCCCCCACACUGGUACUGAGACACGGACCAGACUCCUACGGGAGGCAGCAGUGAGGAAUAUUGGUCAAUGGACGAAAGUCUGAACCAGCCAUGCCGCGUGCAGGAAGAAUGCCCUAUGGGUUGUAAACUGCUUUUAUGUAAGAAGAAACCCCUCUACGUGUAGAGGGCUGACGGUAUUACAAGAAUAAGCACCGGCUAACUCCGUGCCAGCAGCCGCGGUAAUACGGAGGGUGCAAGCGUUAUCCGGAUUUAUUGGGUUUAAAGGGUCCGCAGGCGGAAAAUUAAGUCAGUGGUGAAAUCCUACAGCUUAACUGUAGAACUGCCAUUGAUACUGAUUUUCUUGAGUAUAGUUGAAGUGGGCGGAAUGUGUCAUGUAGCGGUGAAAUGCAUAGAUAUGACACAGAACACCGAUA
This 604-nucleotide ribosomal RNA is filed under the name uncultured bacterium. RNAcentral describes it as "bacterial SSU rRNA". It matches the Rfam family "Bacterial small subunit ribosomal RNA", at positions 112 to 714 of the family's 1533-position model. The record is from RNAcentral.